AUUGAACGCUGGCGGCAGGCCUAACACAUGCAAGUCGAACGAGUGGCGGACGGGUGAGUAAUGUCUGGGAAACUGCCUGAUGGAGGGGGAUAACACCUGGAAACGGUAUCUAAUACCGCAUACCAUCAGAUGUGCCCAGAUGGGAUUGGCUAGUAGGUGGGGUAACGGCUCACCUAGGCGACGAUCCCUAGCUGGUCUGAGAGGAUGACCAGCCACACUGGAACUGAGACACGGUCCAGACUCCUACGGGAGGCAGCAGUGGGGAAUAUUGCACAAUGGGCGCAAGCCUGAUGCAGCCAUGCCGCGUGUAUGAAGAAGGCCUUCGGGUUGUAAAGGACUUUCGGCGGGGAGGCGUUACCCGCAGAAGAAGCACCGGCUAACUCCGUGCCAGCAGCCGCGGUAAUUC
RNAcentral lists this ribosomal RNA (406 nucleotides) under uncultured bacterium. Its description in RNAcentral is "partial 16S ribosomal RNA". It matches the Rfam family "Bacterial small subunit ribosomal RNA", at positions 30 to 526 of the family's 1533-position model. The record is from RNAcentral.